ACUCUCCUAUUAGAUUAGCUACGUGUAAUUUUAGAGUAUGAAUUAAUACAAAUUUGCUUUAAUUAACGAAUUUGGGCUUUCCGAAAAAAAUAAUGUUUCAAUGAACAUGAAUGGUGAUUUGUGAAUUCAUGAUUUGUUUAAGCAAUACUUAUAAAGUUUGUUAUUAAGCCAGCUACUAUUGAUAGAUGACUCACUAAGGCGAAAUAAACAUCUAUCAACACAACAUGCCCAAUGGCGUCAGCAAAAACGUCACCAGAAAAGUGCUGAUAUACUAUAUACAUACAUAUGUGUGAAGUUUUCAUACAUUUUCCACUUGUGCUACCUCUUUCCUUUACCGCCAACGGAAAACUGCAGUUGGGUCAUUGCCACCGUCAUAAGUUAAGCGCCUGUCUUGUUAGUAUAUACUAUUGGUGAGUGAACCAUGAGGUGGGCCCGUGUAGUAAACAAGACCACACAAAAAAAAAGAAUUGAGAAACAACAUAAUUGAGAACAACAAAUCAUUUUGGCUCAGACAUUCUUCAAAUAUUGAGUUAAGAAUGCAAUGAGGCAACCACUCGAUGGGUUCAAAUCAUUGAAUUAUAUUUCGGCGAAUGUCAUUAUACUAAUUAAAUGUAGGCACAGUCUUAGGUAUUUACUCAGCGGCUUGAGCGUGCAAAUGUUUUGUUAAAAUUGCAUUUAAUUUUGAAAUAAUAAUGACAAAUUGUUCAAAGGCCUCGGUCAAAUACAGA
Long non-coding RNA from Bactrocera tryoni, 728 nucleotides. RefSeq lists it as uncharacterized. The transcript has 2 exons. The record is from RefSeq and is a predicted model, not a curated record. NCBI's taxonomy places the organism in Eukaryota, Metazoa, Arthropoda, Insecta, Diptera, Tephritidae.